RNAcentral lists this ribosomal RNA (359 nucleotides) under uncultured soil bacterium. RNAcentral describes it as "bacterial SSU rRNA". It matches the Rfam family "Bacterial small subunit ribosomal RNA", at positions 26 to 351 of the family's 1533-position model. The record is from RNAcentral.
AGAACGAACGCUGGCGGCGUGGAUUAGGCAUGCAAGUCGAACGCGAAAGAGGGGGGAAACCCCCCUCUAGUAGAGUGGCGAACGGGUGAGUAACGCGUGAAGAACCUGCCUUCAACAGGGGGAUAACACUCCCAACGGGGUGCUAAUACCGCAUGAGACCACGGGAUCGCAUGGUCCUGAGGUCAAAGGUGGCCUCUAUUUAUAAGCUACCGGUUGAAGAUGGCUUCGCGUCCCAUUAGCUAGUUGGCGGUAGUAAAACGACCACCAAGGGCGACGAUGGGUAGCUGGUCUAGAGGAGGUAGUGGUCAGACCACGUACGUGGGACUGAGACUACCGGCCCAGACCUCCGACGGGAGCAG